RNAcentral lists this transfer RNA (84 nucleotides) under Planctomycetota bacterium. Its description in RNAcentral is "Planctomycetes bacterium tRNA-Leu". It matches the Rfam family "tRNA". Rfam says of the family: Transfer RNA (tRNA) molecules are approximately 80 nucleotides in length. Their secondary structure includes four short double-helical elements and three loops (D, anti-codon, and T loops). Lineage: Bacteria; Pseudomonadati; Planctomycetota. The record is from RNAcentral.
GCCAGAGUGGCGGAAUUGGUAGACGCGAUGGAUUCAAAAUCCAUUUCCCGCACGGGAGUAGGGGUUCGAGUCCCCUCUCUGGUA